RNAcentral lists this ribosomal RNA (253 nucleotides) under uncultured bacterium. Its description in RNAcentral is "partial 16S ribosomal RNA". It matches the Rfam family "Bacterial small subunit ribosomal RNA", at positions 524 to 776 of the family's 1533-position model. The record is from RNAcentral.
UACGUAGGUGACCAGCGUUGUCCGGAUUUACUGGGCGUAAAGAGCGCGCAGGCGGUCGUUCAAGUCGAGUGUGAAAGCCCCCGGCUCAACUGGGGAGGGUCACUCGAUACUGAUCGACUUGAAGGCAGGAGAGGGAAGCGGAAUUCCCGGUGUAGUGGUGAAAUGCGUAGAUAUCGGGAGGAACACCGGUGGCGAAGGCGGGUCUCUGGGCAGUAACUGACGCUGAGGCGCGAAAGCUAGGGGAGCAAACGGG